This 408-nucleotide ribosomal RNA is filed under the name uncultured bacterium. RNAcentral describes it as "bacterial SSU rRNA". It matches the Rfam family "Bacterial small subunit ribosomal RNA", at positions 114 to 507 of the family's 1533-position model. The record is from RNAcentral.
CACGUGGGUAACCUGCCCUAAAGUGGGGGAUAACAUUUGGAAACAGAUGCUAAUACCGCAUAAACCUAACACCGCAUGGUGUAGGGUUGAAAGAUGGUUUCGGCUAUCACUUUGGGAUGGACCCGCGGUGCAUUAGUUAGUUGGUGAGGUAAAGGCUCACCAAGACCGUGACUGCAUAGCCGACCUAAGAGGGUAAUCGGCCACACUGGGACUGAGACACGGCCCCAGACUCCUACGGGAGGCAGCAGUAGGGAAUCUUCCACAAUGGACGAAAGUCUGAUGGAGUCAACGCCGCGUGAGUGAAGAAGGUUUUCGGAUCGUAAACUCUGUUGUUGGAGAAGAAUGUAUCUGAUAGUAACUGAUCAGGUAGUGACGGUAUCCAACCAGAAAGCCACGGCUAACUACGUG